RNAcentral lists this ribosomal RNA (124 nucleotides) under Ipomoea nil (Japanese morning glory). Lineage: Eukaryota; Viridiplantae; Streptophyta; Magnoliopsida; Solanales; Convolvulaceae. The record is from RNAcentral.
GGAUGCGAUCAAUACCAGCACUAAUGCCCACCGGAUCCCAUCAGAACUCUGAAGUUACACCGCGUGCUUGUGUGCGAGAGUAGUUACUAGAUGGGUGACCCCUUGGGAAGUCCCUGUCCAUCCC